RNAcentral lists this ribosomal RNA (550 nucleotides) under uncultured Alphaproteobacteria bacterium. RNAcentral's name for it is "bacterial SSU rRNA". It matches the Rfam family "Bacterial small subunit ribosomal RNA", at positions 8 to 604 of the family's 1533-position model. Lineage: Bacteria; Pseudomonadati; Pseudomonadota; Alphaproteobacteria. The record is from RNAcentral.
AGACUUUGAUCCUGGCUCAGAACGAACGCUGGCGGCAGGCCUAACACAUGCAAGUCGAACGCUUCAGCAAUGAAGAGUGGCAGACGGGUGAGUAACGCGUGGGAACCUUCCCAGUGGUACGGAAUAGCCCAGGGAAACUUGGGGUAAUACCGUAUAAGCCCUUAGGGGGAAAGAUUUAUCGCCAUUGGAUGGGCCCGCGUCGGAUUAGCUUGUUGGUGAGGUAAAAGCUCACCAAGGCGACGAUCCGUAGCUGGUCUGAGAGGAUGAUCAGCCACACUGGGACUGAGACACGGCCCAGACUCCUACGGGAGGCAGCAGUGGGGAAUAUUGGACAAUGGGCGCAAGCCUGAUCCAGCCAUGCCGCGUGAGUGACGAAGGCCUUAGGGUUGUAAAGCUCUUUUGGCGGGGACGAUAAUGACGGUACCCGCAGAAUAAGCUCCGGCUAACUUCGUGCCAGCAGCCGCGGUAAUACGAANGGAGCUAGCGUUGUUCGGAAUCACUGGGCGUAAAGCGCACGUAGGCGGAUUUGUUAGUCANGGGUGAAAUCCCC